UAAUUGAGAGUUUGAUCCUGGCUCAGGAUGAACGCUGGCGGCGUGCCUAACACAUGCAAGUCGAGCGAGAAAUAAAGAAAUGAAGCUUCGGUAGAUUUUCUUUAUGGAAAGCGGCGGACGGGUGAGUAACGCGUAGGCAACCUGCCCUGUACAGGGGGAUAGCCACCCGAAAAGGUGAUUAAUACCCCAUAACGCAAGAGAUACACAUGUAUCACUUGUCAAAGAUUUAUCGGUAUAGGAUGGGCCUGCGUCUGAUUAGCUAGUUGGUAGGGUAACGGCUUACCAAGGCAACGAUCAGUAGCCGACCUGAGAGGGUGAUCGGCCACAUUGGAACUGAGACACGGUCCAAACUCCUACGGGAGGCAGCAGUGGGGAAUAUUGCACAAUGGGCGCAAGCCUGAUGC
Molecule: ribosomal RNA, 404 nt
Filed under: [Eubacterium] sulci
Lineage: Bacteria; Bacillati; Bacillota; Clostridia; Peptostreptococcales; Anaerovoracaceae
Description: bacterial SSU rRNA
Rfam family: Bacterial small subunit ribosomal RNA
Source: RNAcentral